Long non-coding RNA from Lolium rigidum, 1408 nucleotides. RefSeq lists it as uncharacterized. The record is from RefSeq and is a predicted model, not a curated record. The transcript is spliced from 3 exons. NCBI's taxonomy places the organism in Eukaryota, Viridiplantae, Streptophyta, Magnoliopsida, Poales, Poaceae.
UGUUUCUGAUAUAAACUGUACUUGCAGUGUAUUUGAGUGUGCUUCAGUAACAUAGCAUCUGACAAUAAGUGUUGAGUGUGCUUCAGUAAUAUAGCAUCUGACAGUAAGUGCUGCAAUUUUAAAAUUCCACAUCAAAGAACUAAAUGUGUGUAGACUGAUCAUUUUAAGAUAAUCUGAACUGGAAGAAAAAAUAAACUCUACUGGCAGUGUUUCUUUUAGUUUGCUUCAGCAAUAUAGCAUCUCAAAAUAAGUGUUGCGAUAUGAAGAUUCCACAAGCAAAGAACUACAAUGUGUGUAUACUGAUCAUUUUGUCCAGGAGUUUCACAGUAUACCGUUACACUAAUUUUGUGCUGUUCCAUCCUCAUUUGCCAGGAAGAUCCUGAUGAACAUGCUGAAGAAACAUGCAUACUCUCCAUCAGGAGAACACUUCUAGGUAUGUAUUUUUUCAAAGAAGGGAUAUAUAGUGCUGGUCAGAUGGUUAUUACAAUUCCUUUCGUUUGACGGAAUUAGAAAUGUUCUUCAUUGGAAACAAUUCCUGUGUCGACUUGCUCCACCAUAGAAAGGAGGCGAUCGAUAGCUCUGCCAAUUAUUGGAAGAGCACGCGUGAGUAAAUUAUUGCAGUUACUUUGUUUAACUCAGACAAGAGAAUUUAGAGCUGAUUGAUAUAAUUAACUGGCGCGCGUGAGUAAAUUCUCUUUUGCCAACUCAGGAAAGAGGAACAUACUAUUUAGUAGCUUGCCAGCUCUUGUUGACUUGUGUUCAUUCCUUUUGCGGCUUUCUGUACGGUACAACUGCCUGAUGUCGUUCAGCCCGUUUUCAUCCAGCGCCUUAUUGGCAAGGUCUGUGAUGCCAAAUCGUUGAAAAUCCUAACCAGAGGCAAGGUCUCAUUGCCGUUCACCCUAUGCCAUUGCAGUGGAAAUUCUACGGAGGUUUCAAACUGACAGAAGAUAGCACUCUAGCUUUAGUGCUUCCUUACUAUCAGUCUUAAUAUUUCCAUGGCUCUCCACAUAGGUAAUCAAUAGUGGGAGAGAAGUUUCAGCUUUAGAGCCCUCUACCGACAACCUAAUACCAAUCCAUCCAAAUAUGACAAGCCCCAUGUGCUUCACAAAACAGAGCCGCUAACAUAUAACCGGGGAUAUGAAGACAUGUUUCGUUGGAGUAAAAGAGCUGCCAUUCAAAUCAAGACAGAGAUCAGGAACCGUUCAUGUAGAUCUAGGUGUUAUGAUCUUCCAUCUAGGGUUUCCAUUUCCUUUUGGUUUGGGUGGUACCAGCUUGUAACUUAUGAACACGACUCUGUAGAAUCGUGUUUUAACGAUGUUUUAUCUUGCCACUGGACAAUUUUUAUCCUUGUAGUACUCACGGCUGGAAACUAUGAUUAGGCCAGAAGACAAUACACAUUUUUGUCUUA